RNAcentral lists this ribosomal RNA (439 nucleotides) under uncultured bacterium. RNAcentral's name for it is "bacterial SSU rRNA". It matches the Rfam family "Bacterial small subunit ribosomal RNA", at positions 30 to 486 of the family's 1533-position model. The record is from RNAcentral.
AUUGAACGCUGGCGGAAUGCUUUACACAUGCAAGUCGAACGGCAGCACGGGAGCUUGCUCCUGGUGGCGAGUGGCGAACGGGUGAGUAACAUAUCGGAACGUACCCAGUCGUGGGGGAUAACUAUCCGAAAGGAUAGCUAAUACCGCAUACGUCCUGAGGGAGAAAGCGGGGGAUCGCAAGACCUCGCGCGAUUGGAGCGGCCGAUAUCGGAUUAGCUAGUUGGUGGGGUAAAGGCUCACCAAGGCGACGAUCCGUAGCGGGUCUGAGAGGACGACCCGCCACACUGGAACUGAGACACGGUCCAGACUCCUACGGGAGGCAGCAGUGGGGAAUUUUGGACAAUGGGGGGCAACCCUGAUCCAGCCAUUCCGCGUGAGUGAAGAAGGCCUGGUUGUAAAGCUCUUUACCCGGGUAGUGAUAAUGACAGUACCGGGAGAA